ACAAACGUACUGGAAGAAAGACAUUUUAUUGAAUCAGAAGUAGAAAAAUACCUCGAGCCAGAAGCGGAGACAACUUCGAGAGGUGAUAAGAGAAAAACAAGAAUUGAGAGAAUAAUGGAACACCCUUCUGUAGACAGGAUCACUAAUGAUAUUCAAGGAAGGGCAGCUGCUGUAAAUAACUUCAUGCGUGGUCUUCAACUGCAGAAAUACCGACCAUCUACAAAAAUUAGAACGGAUGGAACCUUUCUUCUGUUUUUUUAGGCAAGGAAUCAACUGAUGGACUAUAUAAGGAGUUGCAUGAAAUGAACCCGACAGAUACAGAGAAGAUGUAUCUAGUGGACGCUGGCCUGGCAUUCAACUCUCCGUUCCCUCUUAUACUACGACCAGAACGUGAAGUUGAUCUCAUCCUGUCAUUUGAUUUCAGUGCAAGAGAAAGUGACAAAGCCGACCCAUUUACAGUUCAGUAUUUUUGAUCACAAGAAAUUUUCUUUGAUGGAUUGACACAUUAUGAUUGCUCUGCGUAAUUAUAAGACGCGACUAAAUUGGUUAAAAUAACUGGUGUGUAUGCUUCUCUUAGCUCUAGCAGGAACUACGACUAGCCGCUGAUUGGGCAAAACUUCAUGAGAUACCCUUUCCUGACAUCAACACAACUGAAAUUGGUAGUGAAGACUUAAAGGAAUGUAUGUCUUUGAAAACCCUGAUGAUCAUACUUGUCCGAUUGUCAUGCAUUUCAUUCUCAUCAACAAUGAAUUCAGGAAGUUUAAAUCACCAGGCGUUUCCAGGGAAACGGAGGAAGAGGAAGUGUUCGGUGAGUUUGACGUAUUUGAAGAUAAAGAUACACCUUAUUCAACCUUUAAAUUCCAAUACUCAGAACGAGCUUUCGACCGACUUGCCAGCCUUAUGGAAUUCAACACACUACUCUAUAAGGAUAUGAUUUUCAACAACAUAAAAAAUGUGUAGAAAACCGUAAAAAAAGAGUGCUUUCGAAGUUAGGAAAGGUUGUUUCAGAUGCAGGUGACAAAAAAUAAGUGACCGAUUAUAUAAACCCCUGUGAAAAUGUCUGAUAUAUUUUGUCCUAGAGUUAAAAUAUACUUACUUCUUCAAGCUGUUUUGACAGAUAGGGAACGGUUUAAAGUAAAAAGGUUCAAAUUUCAGGAAUAAUUUGUAUACUAGCAAAUAGAUAUAACUUUAAGAAAAAUUUAAAAUAUGCAAAUGUGUUAAUAUGCGUUUACCUGUGGAUGCUUUAGAAAUGCAACUUUGCAGUUUACUGCAAAAGGAUUUUGACGAAACAUUUUGUCCCGCCUUUCAAGAUGCUGUUCCUUAAGGCAAAUUUGUAAAUUUUAAAUAACAUUAUUGCCUCGAAAACUAAAUACAUAUUUUCGAAAGCAAAGACCUGCAACAUGUUUUGCCAAUAUCAGAUUACUGCAUGACAAAAGCGUCAUCGCACAAAAUGUCUACAGUGCAAUACUUGUUGGUCAAAAUUUGUUAUAAUGAAUAGACUAUAAGAAUGCAAUCAAACACUGGGUCCGAAGACUUUUUAUAUAUGUUGAAGGUGAAUAUUUUAAGAGAACAAGAAGGACAAAUAAGUGAAAACUAUAAUGAAUCUUAGAUGCAUUUAACUUGGAACACUCCUUUCAAAAAUCCACGUAGGUGUGAGGUAUCUUAAUAUGCAACUUAGGAACCUGUGAAUUAAGAAAAUUCCACAAAAAUAUAUUAAAACUUCAAUCGGCACAAAACUUGAACAAUUCCAAUCCACAGUUUAUUUAAAUAUAAACCCUUAUUUCCUUAUACAAACAUAGGUUAACAAUAUGCCAAGCGUUCCAUUACCUUGCUAUAUGAAAUGGACAUUAUUUCAUGUUAAUUCCUACUCUUAGUAUAAUAUAUCUGUGAAACAGUU
This is an RNA transcript of Ruditapes philippinarum (Manila clam), 1897 nucleotides long. RefSeq lists it as uncharacterized. The transcript is spliced from 7 exons. NCBI's taxonomy places the organism in Eukaryota, Metazoa, Mollusca, Bivalvia, Venerida, Veneridae. The record is from RefSeq and is a predicted model, not a curated record.